UAGCGGCAGGCCUAACACAUGCAAGUCGAACGGUAACAGAGGGUGCUUGCACCCUGCUGACGAGUGGCGCACGGGUGCGGAACGCGUAUGGAACCUGCCCCUGUCAGGGGAAUAGCCCAGGGAAACUUGGAUUAAUGCCCCAUGGUGACACGGAGUCGCAUGACUUUGUGUUCAAAGAUUUAUCGGACAGGGAUGGCCAUGCGUACCAUUAGCUUGUUGGUAAGGUAACGGCUUACCAAGGCAACGAUGGUUAGGGGCCCUGAGAGGGGGAUCCCCCACACUGGUACUGAGACACGGACCAGACUCCUACGGGAGGCAGCAGUGAGGAAUAUUGGACAAUGGUGGGAACACUGAUCCAGCCAUGCCGCGUGCAGGAUGACUGCCCUAUGGGUUGUAAACUGCUUUUAUACGGGAAGAAACGCGCCUACGUGUAGGCGUCUGACGGUACCGUAAGAAUAAGGACCGGCUAACUCCGUGCCAGCAGCCGCGGUAAUACGGAGGGUCCGAGCGUUAUCCGGAAUCAUUGGGUUUAAAGGGUCCGUAGGCGGGCCUAUAAGUCAGGGGUGAAAGGCCACGGCUCAACCGUGGGACUGCCCUUGAUACUGUAGGUCUUGAGUUAUAGUGGGGUUGCCGGAACAUGUGGUGUAGCGGUGAAAUGCAUAGAUAUCACAUAGAACACCGAUCGCGAAGGCAGGUGACCAACUAUAUACUG
This 712-nucleotide ribosomal RNA is filed under the name bacterium S1cc93. Its description in RNAcentral is "bacterial SSU rRNA". It matches the Rfam family "Bacterial small subunit ribosomal RNA", at positions 37 to 742 of the family's 1533-position model. The record is from RNAcentral.